RNAcentral lists this ribosomal RNA (492 nucleotides) under uncultured bacterium. RNAcentral describes it as "partial 16S ribosomal RNA". It matches the Rfam family "Bacterial small subunit ribosomal RNA", at positions 29 to 507 of the family's 1533-position model. The record is from RNAcentral.
AGUGAACGCUGGCGGUAGGCCUAACACAUGCAAGUCGAACGGCAGCACAGUAAGAGCUUGCUCUUACGGGUGGCGAGUGGCGGACGGGUGAGGAAUACAUCGGAAUCUACUUUUUCGUGGGGGAUAACGUAGGGAAACUUACGCUAAUACCGCAUACGACCUACGGGUGAAAGCAGGGGAUCUUCGGACCUUGCGCGAUUGAAUGAGCCGAUGUCGGAUUAGCUAGUUGGCGGGGUAAAGGCCCACCAAGGCGACGAUCCGUAGCCGGUCUGAGAGGAUGAUCAGCCACACUGGAACUGAGACACGGUCCAGACUCCUACGGGAGGCAGCAGUGGGGAAUAUUGGACAAAGGGCGCAAGCCUGAUCCAGCCAUACCGCGUGGGUGAAGAAGGCCUUCGGGUUGUAAAGCCCUUUUGUUGGGAAAGAAAAGCAGCAGGUUAAUACCCCGCUGUUCUGACGGUACCCAAAGAAUAAGCACCGGCUAACUUCGCG